CGAGAGAAGUGGAGGCCCACCGUGAGCUCCUUGCCCUUGGGAGACUCCCGCCUCUCAGGAGGCUCAUAGCCCUGCGUAAGGACUUUGCUUCCCAAGCUUUCCUGCCGCUGCGUGUGGCCAAGUGACCACGUUCCAACAGGGAGAGGUAAACAGAAGUUUUGUGUGCAGCUUCCCCUCUCCUCCUGCUGGCUGGAACCCAGGUGUGAUGGCCAGAGCCGGGGUGGCCACCUCGGGCCGUGAAGAGAAGAUCAUAUGUUGGGAAUGGUGGAGCAACGAGGCAGGAGCCUGGGACCCUACUGGCCGUGGUGGUGCCAUAGGGCCAUGGGCACCUGUCUCCAGGAUUUGGCGUGGGAGGGAAAUAAAUGCCUGUUUUAUGCGUCACCAUUAUUCAGGAGUUUCAGCCUCUUGGAGCAGAAACUGUCCUCACAGCUAGUUAGAUGUUGGACACUGUCUACAUGUUUCACAAGGUAUGAACUCACAUGAUAUCCUUAAUGCAGUGAUAUCAGGGGAAAUUUCCAGAGCUAAAUGGAAAUGUUAGUUCUCUUGCCACAAACUAGGAAGACUGUGAGGGGGCCUUAAGAGGGACUCUGCUGUUCAAGUUCAGGAUUUUACCAACAGCCAGGGUGGGGAAUGUCACCCGGCAAGAGACAAGAAUCAGACCAGCCCAACACUGCUCCUGUGGGAGAAAGAUUUUCAGCCCAGAUUGCACAUCUGAUCAGACCACAAAGCGAGCAAGAAGAUGGCAGACCUGAGAACCAAGAAGCAGCCCCCACAGGGACUAGGCUUAAGCCCAGAGGGCAGAGGCCUCCUCACUGUGAGCCAGGGCCCGUGCCCACCUCCCCUCCACCAGGCACAGCCAGACCUGGAGACCCACUGUUGGGUCUGGAAGGUCGUCAGGUAGCGUCAGUGCCACCGUGAGUGGAGAGGGCAGAGGAUGUGGAAAUGGCUGCCACUUGGGGGGACUCAGGGACAUGAGAAAUGGCUUUUCUGGUGUGUGGGCUGUUGAAUUCUGGAUGGCCCCACCGGGAGAAACAUCAGCAGGAGCUCCCUGCAGUGCAGCACCCACGGUCGAGAUAAGGGUCACGAGUGAACAGAGCUGCGAGGGCGUCGCGGGAGAACUGAAGCAGUCUGUGCUUACUCCCUGAGGUCAUGGUGGAGCAGCAGCCGUAGUAAGUGAUGCAGAAAAUGUGGUCGUAUAAGGGAAAAGGUCAGUUUGAUUAAAUAAACGGUUUUGUAGCAAAAUAA
Long non-coding RNA from Galeopterus variegatus (Sunda flying lemur), 1245 nucleotides. RefSeq lists it as uncharacterized. NCBI's taxonomy places the organism in Eukaryota, Metazoa, Chordata, Mammalia, Dermoptera, Cynocephalidae. The record is from RefSeq and is a predicted model, not a curated record. The transcript has 2 exons.